Molecule: ribosomal RNA, 1194 nt
Filed under: metagenome
Description: SSU rRNA
Rfam family: Eukaryotic small subunit ribosomal RNA
Source: RNAcentral
AGUCUGGUGCCAGCAGCCGCGGUAAUUCCAGCUCCAAUAGCGUAUAUUAAAGUUGUUGCGUCUAAAAAGCUCGUAGUUUGAAAACUUGCCUUGGCUUACAACAGACGUCUAAGGGCGUCACCGUUUGUCGAGAGCAAAUAUGGGUGACUGUUCUUGCCUUCUUCACUGAUUGGCUCGUAAAAGUCAUCGAAGAUCACUUUGAUUAAAUUAGGGUGCUCAAAGCAAGUGUGCUACUUGAAUAUGAAUGCAUGGAAUGAUGGAAUAUGUUGUUGUUCUAUUUGUUGGUUUUUUGAAUGACGAAAUGAUUGAAAGGAACUGUUGGGGGCAUUCGUAUUGUUGUGAGAGAGGUGAAAUUCUUAGACCAUAGCAAGACGAACUACUGCGAAAGCAUUUGCCAAGAAUGUUUUCAUUGAUCAAGAACGAAAGUUAGAGGUUCGAAGGCGAUCAGAUACCGCCCUAGUUCUAACCAUAAACUAUGCCGACUAGCAAUUUGCUUUGUAUUUUUAUGACUAAGUGAGAGGCCACGGGAAACCAAAGUAGGGUUAUGGGGGAAGUAUGGUUGCAAAGCUGAAACUUAAAGGAAUUGACGGAAGGGCACCACCAGGAGUGGAGCCUGCGGCUUAAUUUAACCCAACACGGGAAAACUUACCUGGUCCUGACACUAGAAGGAUUGACAGAUUGAUAGCUCUUUCUUGAUGUGGUGGAUGGUGGUGCAUGGCCGUUCUUAGUUGGUGGAGUGAUUUGUCUGGUUAAUUCCGAUAACGAACGGGACUCUAGCCUAUUAAAUAAUAUGCGGAAUCAAUUUCUCCCGCGUUAUUUCUUAAUGGGAUCAAGCGUGUUUAACGCUUUGAAACAGAGCAAUAACAGGUCUGUGAUGCCCUUAGAUGUUCGGGGCUGCACGCGCGCUACAUUGAAGAACAAAGUGAGCCCUCUGGCUUUUAACAAAGCUAGAAAUCUUUUAAUGUUCUUCUUAAUGGGGAUAGGGGAUUGCAAUUGUGCCCCUUGAAUGAGGAAUUCCCAGUAAGUGCUAGUCAUUAGCUAGUACUGAUUACGUCCCUGCCCUUUGUACACACCGCCCGUCGCUACUACCGAUUGAAUAGUUUAGUGAGAUCAUCUGAGUGUUUGUAUGUGCAUUCUGUGCUUGUAUGGUGUACGAAGAAGAUCAAACUUGAUUAUUUAGAGGAAGUAAAAGUC